RNAcentral lists this transfer RNA (73 nucleotides) under Coemansia erecta. Its description in RNAcentral is "tRNA-Lys". It matches the Rfam family "tRNA". From Rfam's summary of the family: Transfer RNA (tRNA) molecules are approximately 80 nucleotides in length. Their secondary structure includes four short double-helical elements and three loops (D, anti-codon, and T loops). Lineage: Eukaryota; Fungi; Kickxellomycota; Kickxellomycetes; Kickxellales; Kickxellaceae. The record is from RNAcentral. RNAcentral also lists the same sequence under 1 other name.
GGGAGUAUAACUUAAUUGGCAGAGUAUCAAACUUUUAAUUUGUAUAGUUUGGGUUCAAAUCCCAAUACUCUCA